RNAcentral lists this long non-coding RNA (328 nucleotides) under Ananas comosus (pineapple). RNAcentral's name for it is "long non-coding RNA (ACOM_LNC027970)". Lineage: Eukaryota; Viridiplantae; Streptophyta; Magnoliopsida; Poales; Bromeliaceae. The record is from RNAcentral.
AACUUGCAAAUAUAGUUGUAGUUAUUUCACGCUCUGAUAUCAUCUUAAUCUGUCACGUCUCGAGGCCGAUUUUAAAAGCCUUUUUAAAUCAGUUACCAAUUUUGAAAUCAGAGUUGCGGAAAACAUGCCCUUUUUUUUUUAACUUGGCCCACGUGACAUACAGACCCACCACAAAUACAAAGUUCCUCUGUCCACUCAGACCGAAUCUCCUUUGUAUUUGCACAGCGUACCAACAGCUAAUCAGGAUAUCAACCACAACUUACAUUUACCAAUCAACAACCAAUUCAUGAUAUGCAUUUUCAUACAACUAACAAUCCUUAGAGAUGAU